UUGACCUCGGAUCAGGUAGGGAUACCCGCUGAACUUAAGCAUAUCAAUAAGCGGAGGAAAAGAAACCAACAGGGAUUGCCUCAGUAACGGCGAGUGAAGCGGCAAGAGCUCAAAUUUGAAAGCUGGCCCCCUCGGGGUCCGCAUUGUAAUUUGCAGAGGAUGCUUCGGGAGCGGCCCCCAUCUAAGUGCCCUGGAACGGGCCGUCAUAGAGGGUG
RNAcentral lists this ribosomal RNA (215 nucleotides) under Penicillium capsulatum. RNAcentral describes it as "partial 28S ribosomal RNA". It matches the Rfam family "Eukaryotic large subunit ribosomal RNA", at positions 1 to 214 of the family's 3401-position model. The record is from RNAcentral. Lineage: Eukaryota; Fungi; Ascomycota; Eurotiomycetes; Eurotiales; Aspergillaceae.